Molecule: non-coding RNA, 134 nt
Organism: Podarcis lilfordi (Lilford's wall lizard)
Lineage: Eukaryota; Metazoa; Chordata; Lepidosauria; Squamata; Lacertidae
Source: the annotation of a GenBank genome assembly
UCUCUCUCUCUCUCUCUCUCUCUCUCUGUAACUCCUAGUUGUGCAGCAAUAAAACUGCUAACACAUUUGCAAAGCUAAGGAGUCUCAUGUGUGUGUGUGUGUGUGUGAGAGAGAGAGAGAGAGAGAGAGAGAGA